This 217-nucleotide long non-coding RNA is filed under the name Homo sapiens (human). RNAcentral's name for it is "non-protein coding lnc-QRFP-6:6". Lineage: Eukaryota; Metazoa; Chordata; Mammalia; Primates; Hominidae. The record is from RNAcentral.
AUUUCUACUCAACGCGCGUCCUGUGAUUAAGGCUGAGGCAGUGGGUGUCUGGGGAGGAAGUCAGAGCUGGCACCCACAGGACAACCACACGUGCGCACGACACCCCGGUGAGGCCGCACAUCCAGACCAGGAUAUGAGACAAUGUUAUAAAGCAGCAACAAUCACAGUCGUGUUACUGGCGCACACCCAGAAAUCUAGGUCAGAGGGAAACAAUAAG